GACGAACGCUGGCGGCGUGCUUAACACAUGCAAGUCGAACGGAAAGGCCCUGCUUUUGUGGGGUGCUCGAGUGGCGAACGGGUGCGUAACACGUGAGUAACCUGCCCUUGACUUUGGGAUAACUUCAGGAAACUGGGGCUAAUACCGGAUAGGAGCUCCUGCUGCAUGGUGGGGGGUGGAAAGUUUCGGCGGUUGGGGAUGGACUCGCGGCUUAUCAGCUUGUUGGUGGGGUAGUGGCUUACCAAGGCUUUGGAGGGUCGCCGGCCUGAGAGGGUGACCGGCCACAUUGGGACUGAGAGACGGCCCAGACUGCUACGGGAGGCAGCAGUGGGGAAUAUUGCACAAUGGGCGGAAGCCUGAUGCAGCAACGCCGCGUGCGGGAUGACGGCCUUCGGGUUGUAAACCGCUUUCGCCUGUGACGAAGCGUGAGUGACGGUAAUGGGUAAGGAAGCACCGGCUAACUACGUG
RNAcentral lists this ribosomal RNA (468 nucleotides) under uncultured bacterium. Its description in RNAcentral is "partial 16S ribosomal RNA". It matches the Rfam family "Bacterial small subunit ribosomal RNA", at positions 28 to 507 of the family's 1533-position model. The record is from RNAcentral.